Arabidopsis thaliana (thale cress) is the source of this 224-nucleotide long non-coding RNA. RefSeq annotates it as other RNA. The transcript has a single exon. NCBI's taxonomy places the organism in Eukaryota, Viridiplantae, Streptophyta, Magnoliopsida, Brassicales, Brassicaceae. The record is from RefSeq.
UCGAGAGGAAGGAGAGGCAAAGAACCGCCAAAAAAAAAGCUCGUACGCGCGUAUAUGACACGCGCCCACUCCACUGUCUUUUGGUCACUCUAUAACACUAGUCUUUAAACACAGACACUAUCAUACUAUGAUUCCUUCUUCAUAUCAAGAUUCAAGACCAACAGAAAAAUCCAAGCAUUUUACAUAGAAUGUAUAUUAAUGGUCCAAGUAGAUCCACAAAGCCU